AAUCCCUUUACUAUUCGUAAACGACUUUUCUGUCAUUAAUGGAUCCAACUUAUCUAAAGAUGGCGCAUCUUUAAUUCCUUUCAUUUUCUUCUCUAUUUCUUCAAAUUUCUCUAAAUCUGGGUCUUUCUCUUCUUCCGAUUCUUUUUUUACAGUUUCUUGUUUUGAUUCUUC
This 171-nucleotide small RNA is filed under the name Staphylococcus aureus. Its description in RNAcentral is "Antisense". Lineage: Bacteria; Bacillati; Bacillota; Bacilli; Caryophanales; Staphylococcaceae. The record is from RNAcentral.